RNAcentral lists this ribosomal RNA (253 nucleotides) under uncultured bacterium. Its description in RNAcentral is "partial 16S ribosomal RNA". It matches the Rfam family "Bacterial small subunit ribosomal RNA", at positions 524 to 776 of the family's 1533-position model. The record is from RNAcentral.
UACGGAGGGUGCAAGCGUUAUCCGGAUUUACUGGGUUUAAAGGGCGCGUAGGCGGCUUGAUAAGCGUGCGGUGAAAGCCCGGGGCUCAACCCCGGGUCGGCCGUGCGAACUGUCGAGCUGGAGCACUGUAGAGGCAGGUGGAAUUCCGGGUGUAGCGGUGGAAUGCGUAGAGAUCCGGAAGAACACCGGUGGCGAAGGCGGCCUGCUGGGCAGUGGCUGACGCUGAGGCGCGACAGCGUGGGGAGCAAACAGG